GCAGCCACUAGAUGGUGUCUGUUAUGUUUUUGCAUGAUACGAGCCUCAUUGCUUGCCCUUUGAACCUGCUAGGAUGCCAUUUUGUUUGUCCUUGCACUCAAAGAACACAUGUUGGAAAACAUGCAUCUUCUUUUUGGGUCACUUGUAGCAGUGUUGUCUGGACCCCCAAGAUCAUGCUAAGACAGCAGAGGGAUGACCACAAAACCCGAGCAGAUCACUGGAGAAUGAGGUGUCCGGGCUUUCUUCUGAAGACACUCAUGAGAACACAACCACACCCCAGUCUGCAUACAUUACCCCGAAUCAAUCAAUCGAGCGAGAUGGAGCUGCUGGA
Long non-coding RNA from Larimichthys crocea (large yellow croaker), 331 nucleotides. RefSeq lists it as uncharacterized. Lineage: Eukaryota; Metazoa; Chordata; Actinopteri; Sciaenidae. The transcript has 3 exons. The record is from RefSeq and is a predicted model, not a curated record.